AGAAAUACAUGUGGUGGUUCAGCUUAUUCAUCUUUCAACUACCGGGUCCUGAUUAGAAAUGAGAAUCCAAAGACUGAACCACUUGAUGUCGUUGACGCCUUUCACCGUGAUGGCUGGUGGAAGGGUAUCGUCACUAAAGUUGAUGUUUUUGAGGAUGAUAAGACCAACUCAAAGAAGUACACUGUUGUUUUUGAAAACCCACCCGAACAAUUUCAGUUUUCCUCUAAAGAUUUGAGUUUUCAGUGGGAUUGGAGUAAUGGGGCAUGGUCUCGACCCCAAAAACAAAAGAGAACGGAAGGAUUAAGGUUUAGUAAAGGGAUGGCUGUAGAGGUGAAUCUUGACAAAGAGAACUUAGAAGAUGCUUGGUUUCCAGCAACUGUUCUUGAGGAAGUCGGCUUCAAUUCUUUCUUGCUAGAUUGUGGCAGCUCAAAUGGUCAUAUUAAAGAAACUGUUGAUUGCUUCCACAUCCGCCCUCCCCCUCCUAAGUUGGAUAUUACAGAAUUUGAGAUCUUGGAAGCAGUUGAUGUUUUCCAUGAGUCAAGUUGGAGGGAAGCCCUCAUUAGCAAAAUUCUUACAGAAGGUACAGUGUCUCUCUAAAGCAUGCAGAAAAGGAGAUGCAGCUGAGUCAAUCUGAAAUAAGGCCACAUCUCUAUUUGAUGGAUGGUGUAUGGGUUAAUCUUGCCAGGGAUAUAUCUAUUGCUGUACAAUAUGAAGAGAAGAGAUCAACAAAUGCUGACAGCAAUGCAGAAGACCAUGAGGUAGCUAUAAGUGUUGAGAGUUCAAUCAGAGCGAUGAAUGAGAUUGAAGGGAAAUCUUCUUGCAGAAAAUUAAGCACAGCAAAGGAUUACAGAGAAGAGAAAUUGUUUUGCAAAAAGUCAAGGAAGAAUCCAUUAGAGCAGUCAAUGGCUUGUAAUGCACAAUCACCAAGUAAGAAAGUAAGGAAGACACCACCUAAAGGCAGAGAGGAAAAGACAAAAGGAGACUUGGCUGAAAUCCUAGUUGAAAUUGAGCAUAUGGAAAAAGAUGCUCACUCUUCCUUUUCCUUAGUUGAGGGGAGGAGGGGUCUUCAUGCAGAAAACGCUUACCAACAUUCUGAUGAGAAAAUGUGGCUAAGUCAAUUUCAAGAUUGUGCAAAGGAAGAGGCUGAAUUGUCUACAGUAAUCAGCAUGGAGCAUUUAGAUGUCUUGACCGGAUCGUCAGCCAUAGUUUCCUUGGAGAAUCACAUGGCAAAAGAAGUUAGCAUGGCUGCUGUGAUGGAAUCCUGUAACACUCAAGCUUUAUCAACAUGCUUUCCAGGUAAAAGAGAAAGAAAAGUAGAAAAUUUCAACCAAUCUUCAGUGAUAACUGUUCCGGAAGCCACUGAGCUUGUGGAGAAUCUAGAGAUGCCAUUUCUUAAGAGCUCACUUAUAUGGAAAAACAUUGAAUCUCUAGAAGUUUUCCAAGUCCUGCCACAAAGACCACAUUUCAGUCCUCUGAUUGGACAUAAAGAGGCGAGCCGCGAAGGAAUGGCUAUGGGUCAUAUGUUGAGCUUUGCAGUUCUGAUAGAGAAGAUGUCCAAGUUGCGAGUUGACGAUGGUAGAGAAGUUUUCGAGAGCUAUAUGGAAGUCCUUGCUGAUCUUGAAAUGCAUGGAUUUGAGGUUAAGGCAAUAGCGGAGCGCCUUGAGAAGUUGCUGUCAAUCAAAGAUAGGUGCAAACGGCUAGAGGAUGAGGCGAAGAAGGUCCACAUUCGGAUGGCAGAGGGUAAGCAUGAGAAAAUAAAAUUGGAAGAGGAUGUUGAUAAAAUUGACAAGCUGAUAAGCCAGUUAGAAGAGCAACGGGCAAUGAAAGUGUCGAUGAAGGUGAUGAAAGAUUCUGAACUCAUCACUCUGCAGGUGAACGCUAAUGCUGUGAAUGAAGAUACUGUGAAUAUGGAGCAUGAAUUUGAAAACGUAGCUGCUGCAUCUUGGUAACCGACGUCGUUUCCUAAAUGAUCCUUUGGCCCCAAGUGAAGUGAUCUUUCGCUAGAUACAACCAUCAGAAUCGGAUGUUUAUAUUCUCCUCCAAACAUAAAAAGAAGUGUUUAUUGUAGUUUGGCUACUAUGUUAAUUGAGUUAUUAUGGGCUGGACAAAUCUUCCUUUCUAAUUCUAAUGCUAUUGCCAACUUCUUUGGGAUUAAAAUAAA
Molecule: RNA transcript, 2161 nt
Organism: Ricinus communis (castor bean)
Lineage: Eukaryota; Viridiplantae; Streptophyta; Magnoliopsida; Malpighiales; Euphorbiaceae
Gene name: DUF724 domain-containing protein 6
Exons: 7
Source: RefSeq, a predicted model, not a curated record